CAAGCUGAGACUCCAUGGACCAGCAAGUAGCAACUAGAAAACAAUUGUGUGUGAGGAUUCUCUCUUGAUUGUUUAAUCAAGAGUGGCUGCAGACAUGUUCUGGGCAGCUGGAGAUGCUGCAGCAGCCUACAAGGAUUAGCCACUGUUACUGAGCUACUGAAUAAGAGCUCACUCCUGAAGCAGGGAGGUGGACCACGGCACUCUUCUCAGCUAUCUUCCCGUGCUUCUGCUCCCUCCCCAGGGAGACCUAACUCCCCGUUAAACACUCAACUCCCUCUCCUCUUCCUUCUGGAGCUAGCAAGCUGAGGAGACAUCAGAAUAGCUAUGCAAAUGACCUUCAUGUCUGAGGCUCUGAGGAUCCAUGUUCCACAACCAGCACCGCCAAAAAGCA
This is a long non-coding RNA of Erinaceus europaeus (western European hedgehog), 391 nucleotides long. RefSeq lists it as uncharacterized. The record is from RefSeq and is a predicted model, not a curated record. The transcript is spliced from 3 exons. Lineage: Eukaryota; Metazoa; Chordata; Mammalia; Eulipotyphla; Erinaceidae.